Molecule: ribosomal RNA, 407 nt
Filed under: uncultured bacterium
Lineage: Bacteria
Description: partial 16S ribosomal RNA
Rfam family: Bacterial small subunit ribosomal RNA
Source: RNAcentral
GACGAACGCUGGCGGCGUGCCUAAUACAUGCAAGUAGGACGCAGUUGUGAACGGGUGAGUAACGCGUAGGUAACUGCCUAUUAUAGGGGGACAACCACUGGAAACGAAAGCUAAUACCGCAUACUAGUAGAUGGACCGGCGUUGUAUUUGCUAGUAGGUAGGGUAAUGGCCUAUCUAGGCAAAGACACAUAGCCGACCUGGGAGGGUGGACGGCCAAAAUGGGACUGGGACACGGCCCAGACUCCUUAGGGGAGGAGGAGUAGGGGAACUUCGGAAAUGGGGGGAAACCUGACCGAGGAACGGCGCGUGGGUGGAGGAAGUUUUCAGAACGUAAAAGUCUGUUGUUUAGGAAGCGGUACUUAACCAGAAAGGGACGGCUAACUACGUGCCAGCAGCCGCGGUAAUUC